RNAcentral lists this ribosomal RNA (461 nucleotides) under uncultured bacterium. RNAcentral's name for it is "SSU rRNA". It matches the Rfam family "Bacterial small subunit ribosomal RNA", at positions 26 to 518 of the family's 1533-position model. The record is from RNAcentral.
AGAGCGAACGCUGGCGGCAGGCCUAAUACAUGCAAGUCGAACGGACCCUUCGGGGUUAGUGGCGGACGGGUGAGUAACACGUGGGAACGUGCCCUUUGGUUCGGAACAACUCAGGGAAACUUGAGCUAAUACCGAAUGUGCCCCCAUCCUUAAACAAGAUGGGUGGGAAAGAUUUAUCGCCAUUGGAGCGGCCCGCGUCUGAUUAGCUAGUUGGUGAGGUAAAGGCUCACCAAGGCGACGAUCAGUAGCUGGUCCGAGAGGAUGAUCAGCCACACUGGGACUGAGACACGGCCCAGACUCCUACGGGAGGCAGCAGUAGGGAAUCUUGCGCAAUGGGCGAAAGCCUGACGCAGCCAUGCCGCGUGAAUGAUGAAGGUCUUAGGAUUGUAAAAUUCUUUCAGCGGGACGAUAAUGACGGUACCCGCAGAAGAAGCCCCGGCUAACUUCGUGUCAGCAGCCGC